UUUUAAAUUUAGAGUUUGAUCCUGGCUCAGGACGAACGCUGGCGGCGUGCUUAACACAUGCAAGUCGAGCGAUGAAACUUCCUUCGGAAAGUGGAUUAGCGGCGGACGGGUGAGUAACACGUGGGUAACCUGCCUCAAAGUGGGGGAUAGCCUUCCGAAAGGAAGAUUAAUACCGCAUAAUAUAAGAGAAUCGCAUGAUUUUUUUAUCAAAGAUUUAUUGCUUUGAGAUGGACCCGCGGCGCAUUAGCUAGUUGGUAAGGUAACGGCUUACCAAGGCAACGAUGCGUAGCCGACCUGAGAGGGUGAUCGGCCACAUUGGAACUGAGACAC
This 330-nucleotide ribosomal RNA is filed under the name Clostridium botulinum. RNAcentral's name for it is "bacterial SSU rRNA". It matches the Rfam family "Bacterial small subunit ribosomal RNA", at positions 1 to 327 of the family's 1533-position model. The record is from RNAcentral. Lineage: Bacteria; Bacillati; Bacillota; Clostridia; Eubacteriales; Clostridiaceae.